UGCCGUCAAUAUUGCCAAUCU
RNAcentral lists this non-coding RNA (21 nucleotides) under Caenorhabditis elegans. Lineage: Eukaryota; Metazoa; Nematoda; Chromadorea; Rhabditida; Rhabditidae. The record is from RNAcentral.